AUUGAACGCUGGCGGCAUGCCUUACACAUGCAAGUCGAACGGCAGCACGGACUUCGGUCUGGUGGCGAGUGGCGAACGGGUGAGUAAUGUAUCGGAACGUACCUUUCAGUGGGGGAUAACGUAGCGAAAGUUACGCUAAUACCGCAUACGAUCUACGGAUGAAAGCAGGGGACCUUCGGGCCUUGUGCUAUACGAGCGGCCGAUGUCUGAUUAGCUAGUUGGUGAGGUAAAGGCUCACCAAGGCGACGAUCAGUAGCGGGUCUGAGAGGAUGAUCCGCCACACUGGGACUGAGACACGGCCCAGACUCCUACGGAGGCAGCAGUGGGGAAUUUUGGACAAAUGGGCGAAAGCCUGAUCCAGCCAUGCCGCGUGUCUGAAGAAGGCC
Molecule: ribosomal RNA, 386 nt
Filed under: uncultured bacterium
Lineage: Bacteria
Description: bacterial SSU rRNA
Rfam family: Bacterial small subunit ribosomal RNA
Source: RNAcentral